This 71-nucleotide transfer RNA is filed under the name Loxodonta africana (African savanna elephant). It matches the Rfam family "tRNA". Rfam says of the family: Transfer RNA (tRNA) molecules are approximately 80 nucleotides in length. Their secondary structure includes four short double-helical elements and three loops (D, anti-codon, and T loops). Lineage: Eukaryota; Metazoa; Chordata; Mammalia; Proboscidea; Elephantidae. The record is from Rfam by way of RNAcentral.
GCAGUGGUGAUUCAGCAGUAGAAUUCUCCUCUUCCAGGUGGGAGACCCGGGUUCAAUUCCUGCCCAGUGCA